GGUUAAGCGACUAAGCGUACACGGUGGAUGCCCCGGCAGUCAGAGGCGAUGAAGGACGUGCUAAUCUGCGAUAAGCGUCGGUAAGGUGAUAUGAACCGUUAUAACCGGCGAUUUCCGAAUGGGGAAACCCAGUGUGUUUCGACACACUAUCAUUAACUGAAUCCAUAGGUUAAUGAGGCGAACCGGGGGAACUGAAACAUCUAAGUACCCCGAGGAAAAGAAAUCAACCGAGAUUCCCCCAGUAGCGGCGAGCGAACGGGGAGGAGCCCAGAGCCUGAAUCAGUGUGUGUGUUAGUGGAAGCGUCUGGAAAGGCGCGCGAUACAGGGUGACAGCCCCGUACACAAAAAUGCACAUACUGUGAGCUCGAUGAGUAGGGCGGGACACGUGGUAUCCUGUCUGAAUAUGGGGGACCAUCCUCCAAGGCUAAAUACUCCUGACUGACCGAUAGUGAACCAGUACCGUGAGGGAAAGGCGAAAAGAACCCCGGCGAGGGGAGUGAAAAAGAACCUGAAACCGUGUACGUACAAGCAGUGGGAGCCUCUUUUAUGGGGUGACUGCGUACCUUUUGUAUAAUGGGUCAGCGACUUAUAUUCUGUAGCAAGGUUAACCGAAUAGGGGAGCCGAAGGGAAACCGAGUCUUAACUGGGCGUUAAGUUGCAGGGUAUAGACCCGAAACCCGGUGAUCUAGCCAUGGGCAGGUUGAAGGUUGGGUAACACUAACUGGAGGACCGAACCGACUAAUGUUGAAAAAUUAGCGGAUGACUUGUGGCUGGGGGUGAAAGGCCAAUCAAACCGGGAGAUAGCUGGUUCUCCCCGAAAGCUAUUUAGGUAGCGCCUCGUGAAUUCAUCUCCGGGGUAGAGCACUGUUUCGGCAAGGGGGUCAUCCCGACUUACCAACCCGAUGCAAACUGCGAAUACCGGAGAAUGUUAUCACGGGAGACACACGGCGGGUGCUAACGUCCGUCGUGAAGAGGGAAACAACCCAGACCGCCAGCUAAGGUCCCAAAGUCAUGGUUAAGUGGGAAACGAUGUGGGAAGGCCCAGACAGCCGGGAUGUUGGCUUAGAAGCAGCCAUCAUUUAAAGAAAGCGUAAUAGCUCACUGGUCGAGUCGGCCUGCGCGGAAGAUGUAACGGGGCUAAACCAUGCACCGAAGCUGCGGCAGCGACGCUUAUGCGUUGUUGGGUAGGGGAGCGUUCUGUAAGCCUGUGAAGGUGUACUGUGAGGUAUGCUGGAGGUAUCAGAAGUGCGAAUGCUGACAUAAGUAACGAUAAAGCGGGUGAAAAGCCCGCUCGCCGGAAGACCAAGGGUUCCUGUCCAACGUUAAUCGGGGCAGGGUGAGUCGACCCCUAAGGCGAGGCCGAAAGGCGUAGUCGAUGGGAAACAGGUUAAUAUUCCUGUACUUGGUGUUACUGCGAAGGGGGACGGAGAAGGCUAUGUUAGUCGGGCGACGGUUGUCCCGGUUUAAGCGUGUAGGCUGGUUUUCCGAGCAAAUCCGGAAAAUCAAGGCUGAGGCGUGAUGACGAGGCACUACGGUGCUGAAGCAACAAAUGCCCUGCUUCCGGGAAAAGCCUCUAAGCAUCAGGUAACAUCAAAUCGUACCCCAAACCGACACAGGUGGUCAGGUAGAGAAUACCAAGGCGCUUGAGAGAACUCGGGUGAAGGAACUAGGCAAAAUGGUGCCGUAACUUCGGGAGAAGGCACGCUGAUAUGUAGGUGAAGCGACUUGCUCGUGGAGCUGAAAUCAGUCGAAGAUACCAGCUGGCUGCAACUGUUUAUUAAAAACACAGCACUGUGCAAACACGAAAGUGGACGUAUACGGUGUGACGCCUGCCCGGUGCCGGAAGGUUAAUUGAUGGGGUUAGCGGUAACGCGAAGCUCUUGAUCGAAGCCCCGGUAAACGGCGUACGUAACUAUAACGGUCCUAAGGUAGCGAAAUUCCUUGUCGGGUAAGUUCCGACCUGCACGAAUGGCGUAAUGAUGACCAGAGCUGUCUCCACCCGAGACUCAGUGAAAUUGAACUCGCUGUGAAGAUGCAGUGUACCCGCGGCAAGACGGAAAGACCCCGUGAACCUUUACUAUAGCUUGACACUGAACAUUGAGCCUUGAUGUGUAGGAUAGGUGGGAGGCUUUGAAGUGUGGACGCCAGUCUGCAUGGAGCCGGCCUUGAAAUACCACCCUUUAAUGUUUGAUGUUCUAACGUUGGCCCCUGAUCGGGGUUGCGGACAGUGUCUGGUGGGUAGUUUGACUGGGGCGGUCUCCUCCUAAAGAGUAACGGAGGAGCACGAAGGUUGGCUAAUCCUGGUCGGACAUCAGGAGGUUAGUGCAAUGGCAUAAGCCAGCUUGACUGCGAGCGUGACGGCGCGAGCAGGUGCGAAAGCAGGUCAUAGUGAUCCGGUGGUUCUGAAUGGAAGGGCCAUCGCUCAACGGAUAAAAGGUACUCCGGGGAUAACAGGCUGAUACCGCCCAAGAGUUCAUAUCGACGGCGGUGUUUGGCACCUCGAUGUCGGCUCAUCACAUCCUGGGGCUGAAGUAGGUCCCAAGGGUAUGGCUGUUCGCCAUUUAAAGUGGUACGCGAGCUGGGUUUAGAACGUCGUGAGACAGUUCGGUCCCUAUCUGCCGUGGGCGCUGGAGAACUGAGGGGGCUGCUCCUAGUACGAGAGGACCGGAGUGGACGCAUCACUGGUGUUCGGGUUGUCAUGCCAAUGGCACUGCCCGGUAGCUAAAUGCGGAAGAGAUAAGUGCUGAAAGCAUCUAAGCACGAAACUUGCCCCGAGAUGAGUUCUCCCUGAGACUUUAAGUCUCCUGAAGGAACGUUGAAGACGACGACGUUGAUAGGCCGGGUGUGUAAGCGCAGCGAUGCGUUGAGCUAACCGGUACUAAUGAACCGUGAGGCUUAACCUU
This 2903-nucleotide ribosomal RNA is filed under the name Escherichia coli. RNAcentral's name for it is "23S ribosomal RNA". It matches the Rfam family "Bacterial large subunit ribosomal RNA". The record is from RNAcentral. Lineage: Bacteria; Pseudomonadati; Pseudomonadota; Gammaproteobacteria; Enterobacterales; Enterobacteriaceae.